GUUCCAGGAACUUCUUGGGGACUCUAUUUUAAGAAAAUUACUAUUCAUAAUGAUUUGGCAAACUUCUUGCUAAAGGCUCAAAACACCUGUAAAAACGCAUUUCCUACAAGGUUGCUACUUACCUUAACUGACGAACUUCUCCCUUGGAGCUAAGGUUUUCUCAUCUCUGUGUAUUUUAUAAGAAAGGGGGAUAUAAAAUCAGAAUAAAGUGUUAUCUGGAUGAAAUGGAAAUAAUGUGGAGACUUCUUUAGCCAUGUGGAAUGGAAAUACACUUUGUUUUAAAAUGUGGGAAGCAGUGCUUGCUGAUGCAAUUACUUGGGCAUUAUAUGAAAAGAUAAACCUAGUGGAGAGCUCAUCUGAGUAGAUGCUAAUGAACAUCCAUCACUAAAGUACUUAGAGCUGUGACAGGAAAUAAAAUUUCACAAGAAAAGAAUGCACGCAUUCAAAAAUAUGUUUAAGGGAAAACUUUCAGGAGCACUCCAUGAACAAUUAUAAGGAUGGAAGUGAAUAAGGAAAGAGAGAAAGAACAAAAUGAGAGAAAAAAAUGAGAACAGAGUGAUAUUUUAUACCUCAAAAGUAAAAUAUGAAUAAAAAAGCAAAAAGAGCAAAUAGUGUAAUUUGUCAUGCAAAGACAAAAUGGCAGAGAGAAUGUGAAGAGGCUACUGGAUUUGGAGAUUAUCUAAUUGCAAAUUUAAAAAAAUUUAGUAUAUUUCAGCAGAAUAAGGAGACAAGAGAGAAGUUUAGUAGGUCAAAGAGUGAAUAAGGUGAAGAGCCAGAAGGAAGCAUAUAUAUUUUACCAUUAAAAGAAGAAGAUAAUAAGGAGAGAUUAGUGAUGCCUCUAGAAGGGAGAAACGUAAGGAAGAAUUGAG
RNAcentral lists this long non-coding RNA (869 nucleotides) under Homo sapiens (human). RNAcentral describes it as "HSALNT0249501". Lineage: Eukaryota; Metazoa; Chordata; Mammalia; Primates; Hominidae. The record is from RNAcentral.